ACGCUGCGGCGUGCUUAACACAUGCAAGUCGAGCGAUGAAGCUCCUUCGGGAGUGGAUUAGCGGCGGACGGGUGAGUAACACGUGGGUAACCUGCCUCAUAGAGGGGAAUAGCCUUUUCGAAAGGAAGAUUAAUACCGCAUAAGAUUGUAGUACCGCAUGGUACAGCAAUUAAAGGAGUAAUCCGCUAUGAGAUGGACCCGCGUCGCAUUAGCUAGUUGGUGAGGUAACGGCUCACCAAGGCGACGAUGCGUAGCCGACCUGAGAGGGUGAUCGGCCACAUUGGGACUGAGACACGGCCCAGACUCCUACGGGAGGCAGCAGUGGGGAAUAUUGCACAAUGGGGGAAACCCUGAUGCCAGCAACGCCGCGUGAGUGAUGACGGUCUUCGGAUUGUAAAACUCUGUCUUUAGGGUACGAUAAUGACGGUACCUAAGGAGGAAGCCACGGCUAACUACGUGCCAGCAGCCGC
Molecule: ribosomal RNA, 470 nt
Filed under: uncultured bacterium
Lineage: Bacteria
Description: bacterial SSU rRNA
Rfam family: Bacterial small subunit ribosomal RNA
Source: RNAcentral